Molecule: long non-coding RNA, 567 nt
Organism: Morone saxatilis (striped sea-bass)
Lineage: Eukaryota; Metazoa; Chordata; Actinopteri; Moronidae
Exons: 5
Source: RefSeq, a predicted model, not a curated record
GUCCUCUUUACACCAUGAGGUGCAGACCUGCAGACGCGCUGCAGACCCGCGGACUUCUACACGACGGUGCCUCGUGCUCUCCAACUAAACUCAUGAUGCAGAGAAAGUGGUCUGGAUGUGCUGCAGAUGAUGAUGAUGGAGGAUGAUGUGCUGAAGUUCCUUAAAGCAGGAACCCACUUGUGAGGAAUCUGGACUUCCAGAUGGAGCAGUACGUCUACAAAGAAGAAGCCUUGAAGGUGUCUAAACUACAAACCUGAGUGCUGACAGCCAGCGCCACGUUUGUCAACUCCUCCAGGAACAAACAGCGUUAUCUGUGGGUCAUAUGCGGUGGAUGUCGGUCAGAGAGGUGUCGAGGAUGAGGGGAACGAUCUCCAGGGAACAACCCUGCAAAGUCAAAGCCUGAUGUGUAUUUCUAAAGAGCCAGAGGAGAACUGCAGUGCCCAGACUGCCACUGAAGACUGGUCUCCAGCUCCCACUGGCUGGUGUUCUAUCUGAAGUCAGCUACUGUGCAGAAAUGCACAACACUAUAAGCCAAGAAAUCAAUAAAGUUGGAUGGUUUUCUUAAAA